UACAGAGGGUGCAAGCGUUAAUCGGAAUUACUGGGCGUAAAGCGUGCGUAGACGGUUAUGUAAGUCGGGUGUGAAAGCCCCGGGCUCAACCUGGGAAUGCCAUUCGAGACUGCAUAGCUAGGGUGCGGAAGAGGGAAGCGGAAUUUCCGGUGUAGCGGUGAAAUGCGUAGAUAUCGGUAGGAACACCAGCGGCGAAAGCGGCUUGCUGGUCCAGCACCGACGUUCAGGCACGAAAGCGUGGGGAGCAAACAGG
Molecule: ribosomal RNA, 253 nt
Filed under: uncultured bacterium
Lineage: Bacteria
Description: partial 16S ribosomal RNA
Rfam family: Bacterial small subunit ribosomal RNA
Source: RNAcentral